GUGCUUUGAGAUGAUGAAGUCAAUGCUUUAUUCAAGGUAAUGAAAACUGAUCUUGCAGAAUUUGGUUAGCUCCCUCGGGUCAUGAAAAUGCUAUCUUUUGGAUGUUGAAACUAACUUGGCAUAUACAUGUAGUUAAACACUAAACCAUGACGCUAAUUGCACGUAAUGUAGAAACUAAAGUAAAUUGGUUUGACUAGAGCUGUUAGAUGUUGAUGUGCCUCUGAUGUUGAGAUCACUCAACCAGAUCUUUGAUUAUGAGAAAAAAAACAUGGGAUUUAUAAAACAGAUAAGCAAAACAUCAUAUAGGUUCAAAAUCAUAUCACAAUAGAGCUUAAGUAGAUACGCAACCGGGAUCCUGAGUAUUGAUGUGGUGGAAAUGUGGAUGGUAUCUCUCGGGGAUCACCGAUAUUGAUUUGCUUAUAAAUGAGAUCGGUUAUAUGGAUGACACUUCUUUUUUUUUUUUUGGUAAAUAUCGCGGUGAAGUUCUACAAGGUGUGCCAAAUCCUACCCGCCUGCGGAGGAGGAACCGAGGGGGCGUGGGAGGAGUACAAAGUGGAUGCAUGGGGAAAACUACAAAGCGGAUGCAAGGUCGUGCAGUGCGGAUGCAAAUGCACCCUUGCAUAGCUGGAUACGCUAGAUUUAAGGGGAGGAAAAAGUCUACAUAACUCCCCAAACUAUCUAGGGUGGACUACUAACCCCCCGAACUAUUAAACCGGUUAUUCUACCCUCUGAACUUUCAAAACCGGUCAAAUAACCCCCUCGAGUGGUUUUGGAGGGUGGUUUUGUCUUUUUCUUUUUUAUUUAUUUUUGUUGAAUAUUUGAAAAAUCAUAAUAAAUCAUAAAAAAUCAUAAAAUGAAAAUUUUAAUUUUUUUGGACUCCUGAUGAGUUGAUCUACACAGUGAAUAUAUAAUAUGGUAUGCUUUAGUACAAAGUUUUUGCUGUACCUUUAAAUCUAUGUUUUUCUAUAAUUAAUUUGAAUAAUUCAUAUAUGCAGUUCCUGUGGUCCAAUUAUGGUAAAAUUUUUAUGGUGGGCUCAUUAUUAUAUGCUUGAACUAUGGUAAAAAUUUCAUACUCAUUGGAUCACAUAUAACUUAGUUAUAGAUAAAACAUAGAUUUAAUAAGAAUAAAGCUAAAUAAAUUGAUAACUAAGUUAUACGUGAUCCACUAGGUACGAAACUUUUACCAUAGUUCAAGCAUACAAUAAUGAGCUCACCAUAAAAAUUUCACCACAAUUGGAUCAUAGGAACUGCAUAUAUCAAUUAUUCGAUUUAAUUAAAUAAAAACAUAGAUUUAAAGCUACAUCAAAAACUUUAUACUAAAGUAUAUCAUAUUAUAUAUUCACUGUGUAGAUCUACUCAUCAGAAAUCCAACAAAAUUUAAAUUUUCAUUUUAUGAUUUUUCUAUAAUUUAUUAUGAUUUUUCAAAGAUUUAGCGGAAAUAAAUAAAAAAGAAAAAGACAAAACCACCAUCCAAAACCACUCUAGGGGGUUAUUUGACCGGUUUUGAAAGUUCAGGGGGUAGAAUAUCCGGUUUUAUAGUUCGGGGGGUGAAGUUGUCCACCCUUAAUAGUUUAGGGGGUUAUGUAGACUUUUUCCUUUAAGGGGAUAUAGGGGGAUAAAGGACCAGACUGAUUUCUUACUAGUGCUAGCCUACAUAAGGCCAUAGGCAGAUAACCAAACAUGCUCAACUUACGUUACAUGUGUCUGUGGAUGGAGUUUUGUAGGCAACGGACCCAUAUUGGGAUAUUAAAACGUGUAAAAACCCUUGUACUAGGAAGAGAUAUGUCAAGUAGUUUUUACCAAAUUUACUUUGAGCAUCUCCGAGAGUUUUGUAUAGUUUACUUGCUAAACAUCUAGCAAAUUAAUAGAAAAUAGUAACUUUAAAUUUUAUUUUUCUUUAACAGUCUCCUACAAUGGUGUCCUAAAUGAUUUUUGCAUUCGCAAUAUCAAACUAUUUCAAACUUUACAUUAGGAACCCUAAACUAUUUCUAGCCAACCAAACUUU
This 2005-nucleotide long non-coding RNA is filed under the name Sorghum bicolor (sorghum). RNAcentral's name for it is "long non-coding RNA (SBIC_LNC016687)". The record is from RNAcentral. Lineage: Eukaryota; Viridiplantae; Streptophyta; Magnoliopsida; Poales; Poaceae.